Molecule: unclassified non-coding RNA, 253 nt
Filed under: uncultured bacterium
Lineage: Bacteria
Description: contains 16S-23S intergenic spacer region
Rfam family: Bacterial small subunit ribosomal RNA
Source: RNAcentral
UACAGAGGGUGCGAGCGUUAAUCGGAUUUACUGGGCGUAAAGCGUGCGUAGGCGGCUUGUUAAGUUGGGUGUUAAAUCCCCGGGCUUAACUUGGGGAUUGCAUUCGAUACUGGGAAGCUAGAGUAUGGGAGAGGGAGGUAGAAUUCCAGGUGUAGCGGUGAAAUGCGUAGAGAUCUGGAGGAAUACCGGUGGCGAAGGCAGCCAUCUGGCCUAAUACUGACGCUGAGGUACGAAAGCAUGGGGAGCAAACAGG